GGCGCACGGGUGAGUAACGCGUGGGUAAUCUGCCCUUGGAUUUGGGAUAACUUCGCGAAAGUGGAGCUAAUACCGGAUAGUCUGGCUUUUAAUCGAAGUCGGUAAAGGAUGCCUCUGCAUAUGCAUUCGUCCGAGGAUGAGCCCGCGUCUCAUUAGCUAGUUGGUAGGGUAAUGGCCUACCAAGGCAACGAUGAGUAGCUGGUCUGAGAGGAUGAUCAGCCACACUGGAACUGAAACACGGUCCAGACUCCUACGGGAGGCAGCAGUGGGGAAUAUUGCGCAAUGGGCGAAAGCCUGACGCAGCAACGCCGUGUGAGGGAUGAAGGCUUUCGGGUCGUAAACCUCUGUCAGAAGGGAAGAACGGGCACUGGUCUAAUAGGCCUUUGUUUUGACGGUACCUUCAGAGGAAGCACCGGCUAACUCCGUGCCAGCAGCCGCGGUAAUACGGAGGGUGCAAGCGUUAUUCGGAAUUACUGGGCGUAAAGCGCACGUAGGCCGCUUUGUAAGUCAGGGGUGAAAUCCCACGGCUCA
RNAcentral lists this ribosomal RNA (531 nucleotides) under uncultured Desulfomicrobium sp. RNAcentral's name for it is "bacterial SSU rRNA". It matches the Rfam family "Bacterial small subunit ribosomal RNA", at positions 97 to 611 of the family's 1533-position model. The record is from RNAcentral. Lineage: Bacteria; Pseudomonadati; Thermodesulfobacteriota; Desulfovibrionia; Desulfovibrionales; Desulfomicrobiaceae.